This 333-nucleotide ribosomal RNA is filed under the name uncultured eukaryote. Its description in RNAcentral is "partial 18S ribosomal RNA". It matches the Rfam family "Eukaryotic small subunit ribosomal RNA", at positions 1470 to 1796 of the family's 1831-position model. The record is from RNAcentral.
CCCUUAGAUGUCCGGGGCCGCACAUGCGCUACAAUGGCUGCAUCAGCGCGAGUCUCUCCUGAAAGGGCGAGGAAACCGCUCAACCGCAGUCGCGGUUGGGAUUGGGGGCUGCAAGUGUCCCCCAUGAACACGGAAUUCCUAGUAGGCGCCAGUCAUCAGCUGGCGUCGAUUGAGUCCCUGCCCUUUGUACACACCGCCCGUCGCUAUUACCGAUCGCUCUCGUUAAUGAGCCCGUCGGAUUGGACCCGGUGGGGCGUUUCGGCGCCCCGCGUCCUGGUGUUUGCCGAGAAGAUGGGCGAAUUAUCGGGGGUAGAGGAAAUAAAAGUCGUAACA